UUUAACGGCCGCGGUAUCCUAACCGUGCAAAGGUAGCGUAAUCACUUGCCCCUUAAAUAGGGACCAGUAUGAAUGGCUAAAUGAGGAUAAUUCUGUCUCCUUUAACAAAUCAGUGAAACUGAUCUACCAGUACAAAAGCUGGUAUAACCCCAUAAGACGAGAAGACCCUGUGGAGCUUUAAAUUUAACCCAAGCAAUCAAACACAAGUUGACACAUGGCUAAAAAUUUUAAGUUGGGGCGACUUCGGAAUAAAACCAAACUUCCGAGCAUAAGACUACGUCAUUCUAAGACYUACAAGUCAAAACUAAAAUUGRCCCAGUAACCCUGACCACCGAACCAAGUUACCCCAGGGAUACCAGCGCAAUCUUCUUCCAGAGUCCCUAUCGACAAGAAGGKUUACGACCUCGAUGUUGGAUCAGGACACCCAAAURGUGCAGCCGYUAUUAAAGG
RNAcentral lists this ribosomal RNA (450 nucleotides) under Sceloporus dugesii intermedius. RNAcentral's name for it is "partial 16S ribosomal RNA". It matches the Rfam family "Bacterial large subunit ribosomal RNA", at positions 1923 to 2571 of the family's 2925-position model. Lineage: Eukaryota; Metazoa; Chordata; Lepidosauria; Squamata; Phrynosomatidae. The record is from RNAcentral.